UCCGUAGGUGAACCUGCGGAGGGAGGGUUACCGAGUUUACAACUCCCAAACCCCUGUGAACAUACCAAUUGUUGCCUCGGCGGAUCAGCCCGCUCCCGGUAAAACGGGACGGCCCGCCAGAGGACCCCUAAACUCUGUUUCUAUAUGUAACUUCUGAGUAAAACCAUAAAUAAAUCAAAACUUUCAACAACGGAUCUCUUGGUUCUGGCAUCGAUGAAGAACGCAGCAAAAUGCGAUAAGUAAUGUGAAUUGCAGAAUUCAGUGAAUCAUCGAAUCUUUGAACGCACAUUGCGCCCGCCAGUAUUCUGGCGGGCAUGCCUGUUCGAGCGUCAUUUCAACCCUCAAGCCCAGCUUGGUGUUGGGACUCGCGAGUUAAACCGCGUUCCCCAAAUUGAUUGGCGGUCACGUCGAGCUUCCAUAGCGUAGUAGUAAAACCCUCGUUACUGGUAAUCGUCGCGGCCACGCCGUUAAACCCCAACUUCUGAAUGUUGACCUCGGAUCAGGUAGGAAUACCCGCUGAACUUAAGCAUAUCAAUAAGCGGAGGA
RNAcentral lists this ribosomal RNA (546 nucleotides) under Fusarium sp. Fs003TNW-R. Its description in RNAcentral is "eukaryotic LSU rRNA". The stretch from base 179 to 332 matches the Rfam family "5.8S ribosomal RNA". The record is from RNAcentral. Lineage: Eukaryota; Fungi; Ascomycota; Sordariomycetes; Hypocreales; Nectriaceae.